RNAcentral lists this ribosomal RNA (329 nucleotides) under uncultured eukaryote. Its description in RNAcentral is "partial 18S ribosomal RNA". It matches the Rfam family "Eukaryotic small subunit ribosomal RNA", at positions 1470 to 1796 of the family's 1831-position model. The record is from RNAcentral.
CCCUUAGAUGUCCUGGGCCGCACGCGCGCUACAAUGAUGAAUUCAACGAGUUUAUAACCUUGGUUGAAAAGCCUGGGUAAUCUUUUGAACUUUCGUCGUGAUGGGGCUAGACCCUUGCAAUUAUUGGUCUCCAACGAGGAAUUCCUAGUAAACGCAAGUCAUCAGCUUGCAUUGAUUACGUCCCUGCCCUUUGUACACACCGCCCGUCGCACCUACCGAUUGAAUGGUCCGGUGAAAUCUUCGGAUUGAGACUUUGUUUUCUUCACGGAAAACGCUGUUUUAAAAAGUUGAUUAAACCUUACCAUUUAGAGGAAGGUGAAGUCGUAACA